GACGAACGCUGGCGGCGUGCUUAACACAUGCAAGUCGAACGGAAAGGCCCCUUUGGGGGUCCUCGAGUGGCGAACGGGUGAGUAACACGUGAGUAACCUGCCCUUGACUUCGGGAUAACUUCAGGAAACUGGGGCUAAUACCGGAUAGGAAUCCUUGCUGCAUGGUGGGGGUUGGAAAGCUUCGGCGGUUUUGGAUGGACUCGCGGCUUAUCAGCUUGUUGGUGGGGUAGUGGCUUACCAAGGCUUUGACGGGUAGCCGGCCUGAGAGGGCGACCGGCCACAUUGGGACUGAGAUACGGCCCAGACUCCUACGGGAGGCAGCAGUGGGGAAUAUUGCACAAUGGGCGGAAGCCUGAUGCAGCAACGCCGCGUGCGGGAUGACGGCCUUCGGGUUGUAAACCGCUUACAGCAGGGGCGAAGCUUGUGGUGACGGUACCUGCAGAAGAAGCACCGGCUAACUACGUG
This 465-nucleotide ribosomal RNA is filed under the name uncultured bacterium. RNAcentral describes it as "partial 16S ribosomal RNA". It matches the Rfam family "Bacterial small subunit ribosomal RNA", at positions 28 to 507 of the family's 1533-position model. The record is from RNAcentral.